This 247-nucleotide ribosomal RNA is filed under the name uncultured Actinomycetales bacterium. Its description in RNAcentral is "partial 16S ribosomal RNA". It matches the Rfam family "Bacterial small subunit ribosomal RNA", at positions 91 to 334 of the family's 1533-position model. The record is from RNAcentral. Lineage: Bacteria; Bacillati; Actinomycetota; Actinomycetes; Actinomycetales.
AUUAGUGGCGAACGGGUGAGUAAUACGUGAGUGACCUACCUUUGACUCUGGGAUAAGCCUGGGAAACUGGGUCUAAUACCGGAUACGACCAAUCUCCGCAUGGGGUGUUGGUGGAAAGCGUUAUGGAGUGGUUUUAGAUGGGCUCACGGCCUAUCAGCUUGUUGGUGAGGUAAUGGCUUACCAAGGCGACGACGGGUAGCCGGCCUGAGAGGGUGACCGGCCACACUGGGACUGAGACACGGCCCAG